This is a long non-coding RNA of Triticum dicoccoides, 1335 nucleotides long. RefSeq lists it as uncharacterized. The transcript is spliced from 3 exons. The record is from RefSeq and is a predicted model, not a curated record. Lineage: Eukaryota; Viridiplantae; Streptophyta; Magnoliopsida; Poales; Poaceae.
UUUAAUAAUAAUAAAUAAAAGGAGUAUGUGUGUUCUACAGUUCUGCAAACUGUCAAAAUUAUGUUCAUCUUUGUGAUUUCGGUUUGGAUCUGGGUGCUUCUGGCUGUUUCUGGAGUUCAGGUUCAAGUUAACCAUGGAGGUGACUCAUCCUUUAUUUCCGUGAGGUUAUUUGUGUCACAUGUUACUGUUGCUUUAAUCUUUGACAUACUGUGCAAGUUGUUGAAUUUCCUGAGUUUGUUUUCUGCUCCUGAGUUUGAAUUUCCCCGAAAUGCGCCCUCGUGGUUGCUGCCACACCGCCGUUGCUCUAUCCGUUGAUGCGGUUACGGGUUAAAUAGUCGUGGAUUUUAUCGUCGUAGUUUGACGCCAUGUAGUUUCACACGCCUCCCUUUUUCUAUUUGGAGUAUACAGUUGCAGAGGAUUUAUAAGUGUGUGGAUCAUAUGUACUCUUUUUAUGAUGGAUCUCUGACCAUGCAAUUUCUGGGCGUCACAGAGAAGCCAAGAAGGACGAGAUUGUCAAGUCAGCGAUCGAGGUGCAGACAGGUUGCUCAUUCAGUUCAGCAAUUGUGUGGAUGUAUUUUUUUGGAUGAAAAUUGCAUUCUCUGUUGGGCACUGAUUCAGAUAUAUUAAUAUUGGGGAAGUCUCUCAUAUACUGCUCGAGGUCGGGAAGGUGCGGAGGCUGCUAGAGGAAGUGUUGGAGGCCGAGCGCAGCAGCAAUAAUGAUCUGCUACUGGUGCUGGACCAGGCCAAGAUUGAUGAGUUGAAGGCGAGAACAAACUACUACACUACCCAGCAACUUAUACAGGUGCAUUUCCUAUAUUUUUACAAUAACAUGACCUGCCAGUUAUGCAGAGUUGUACUGGUUAGUAGUUAGUGUAUGAAAAAUAAGCAUGAUUUAUGCUCCCUUUUUCACCUUCCUGAAAACAGUACAUGUUGUAUGUGUUGAUGACGCUUUCAUAGUGGUGAUACAGAGAUAUGGUCUUGACCCUACUCAAGCUUGUCCACACCGAUGUCACGGUAGCUGCUUCUGCAAGUCUCUUGUCAUCUUCUUCGCCGCCGGCUCGGUCACCACAUCCGCUUCCCACAGCUGCGGACGUCGAUAAGGAGGUGGUGGGUGACAUGGGCAAAGAGUGCUUGGAGGUCAAUGUUGCUUGUCUGUGUGUCUGCCUAGAGAAUUUUCUGUUGUUUGAUUUGGUUUUAUAAGUCCAUAUUGCAUGUCUGCAUAGAGAAUCUCAUAAUAUGAUUGUUAUUAUUAUAUGUCUUACAGAAGUGCAUAGUUUCACUAUAUCAUAGUAUUAUAAAUGCAUGAGAGUUGAUCUGGGUAAGUGUCUGGCACUC